Molecule: non-coding RNA, 23 nt
Filed under: Arabidopsis thaliana (thale cress)
Lineage: Eukaryota; Viridiplantae; Streptophyta; Magnoliopsida; Brassicales; Brassicaceae
Source: RNAcentral
CUGGUAAACCAGCGAGUGCAAUA